RNAcentral lists this unclassified non-coding RNA (285 nucleotides) under Hevea brasiliensis (rubber tree). Lineage: Eukaryota; Viridiplantae; Streptophyta; Magnoliopsida; Malpighiales; Euphorbiaceae. The record is from RNAcentral.
CUCACCACGGAAUUUGGGAGGUGGUGCAAAUACCCUGCCUGCGUCAAGCUCCACAAGAGUACUGCAGUUACCAAAGACUCAGGAAAAGGGAAGGAAACACUAAGUCCAGACCGAGAGACAGUCAUCAGAGGAAAGCUGCAGUGGCUGUGGUGGCGUGAAUUAUAGGAGGUUUGAAGAUGAGUUCACGUAGCAGAAGCAAUAGCAGGAGCCGAAGUAUGAGUCAGAGCCAGAGUAGGAGCCGAAGCAGGAGCCCCCGAGAUCGCAGAAUUCGAUCUCGACGCUAUU